UAACUUUCAAAAGCCAUGGACUAGAUCCACCAACAAGGCUUGGUUCUCAGCCCCAAGAAUCAGAAAGCAAGGCCAGACCAUGUUCCAUACUGGCCUCCCCUCGUGUGACUGACCCCUGCUUUGACGCCCUGGCCCUCAUUCCUUCCAUCUCAUAUGCAAGUACAUACUUGUAUAUAAGGCUAAAUAAAACUCUUGCAGAAACAGGACAGGAAGCUGGAAAGAUAUCAUAAAGUCUCUUUAUGUAACAGGAAUUCCUGUUCCCAGGAUAGUGUUGGUUUAACAGGAUGUAGAGGGACCAGGGAAACAGAUGGCUGGGAAGUGAAUGUUAUGGAACAAUACAGGAAGGUAUUGCCUUCCUAGGCUCAGGACAGACAAACUAGUUCUAUUAUUAUAGCUGCUGCUUCUGUGCUGCCGCUGCUUUUUUUUUUUUUUUCCCUUUAUGUAGUGUUUGCUUGCCUGCCCCUGAAGGCAGUUUCAGGACUUCAGCAAAAGACAAGUUAGUACCUGUUUUAAUAAUGAUAGCUAAGAUAGUUUAGGGAUUUUGUUUUGUUCUGUCUUCAUUUUUGGAGUUGCAUUCCUUAAUAUUUCAGCCUUAGCUACAAUGGUGGUUUUGACAUCGUCAAUCAAGAACUCAGUAGGCAACAGCUUAAAUGCCUUCAAUAUUACCAUCAAUUGCUUGAUUUUUAAAUAGAGUUUUAAUUUCUAAAGUAUUUUAUUAACUAUUCACCAAUUAAAGCAAAGCUAGAAAUCGCAGCUUCAUUUCAAAAGUAUUGCUUGGGGAUAAAGUCAUGAGAAAACAUGAGUUACCCUUCUGUCAAUUUGCUACAACAAUAAACCAGGUCACGGUGAGCCUCCACUGCAGCUCAUGUUUUAAUGUGCCUACUCAGUGCCAGGUGUGGCACUAGGUUCUGUGUGUAAAGUGGUGAACAAGACCUCAUAGUCUUCACCCUCAAGGAAUUUUCUAGUAAACUUUUUCAAAGCGCAUUCAGCCCUUUGCAGAGCAGGCUGACCUCAUUUUUCACCCACUUGUUCUUUGAGAAGCUGUGAUGAAUUUGUGAAUGCUCCAUUCACAUUCUUCCCCAGCAUCCUUUGUGUCUGGAAUGCACACAUAAAUGAAGACGCAGGGCAGGUGUGAAUCAGACCAUUGUAAACCCAGCUCAGACCCCGAUCUUGCGGCUUAAUCUGCACUCUGUUCUAACCCGCUGCUAACCAGGUGGAGUGCGUACAUGCAUGCUCAGUCAUGUUUGACUCUUGGCGACCCCAUGGACUAUAGCCUUCCAGGCUCCUUUGUCCAUGCAUUUCUCCAGGCAAGAAUACUGGAGUGGGUUGCCAUUUCCUACUCCAGGGGAUAUUCCUGACCCAGGGGUUGAAACCGCAUCUUUUGCAUUGGCAGGCAGAAUAUUUUUUUUUUUGACCACUGAUCCACCUGGGAAGCCUAACCAGCUGGAGACAAGCUCCCUAAUAAACCACUGUAAAAUUACAUUCUGAAGUGAGUCCUUAUUCAUGUUUCUGGCCGAACAUGUUUCCCAUAUAUCUGUUGGUGUACAGGGCAUCUCUGCACAAAUGGUGCAUGGCUCUUCCCAUGUUUUAUUUCAUUUUCCAUUCAAAAGAAGCCUGUGAGGCAGAUGAGUCAGCCAAUGAUAUCUUUCACAUGGUGAGGAGUGACUUUUCCAGUCUUGUAGAUGAAGGGAAGCUGGGCAGUCUUGUUGGUCACUCCAGGCCAGGGCUGCCCACCAACCUCACAGACUAAUCUGGGCACUAGCUUUACAAAGUCAAGUGCACUUGUACAUCAGUAUGUACUGAGCCCCUGUCUGUGUGAUGCUUCUUUCUCUGAGCCAGCGCAAAACUCCAUUUGCUGAGUCAUCAAUUCUCAAGAAUCCCAAGCUUCCCCAAACAUGAGGACCCCACGGAUGCUCCAGAGAAUGGCUCCAGUUCACUACUUACAGAUGUCUCUGCUCCAAGAGUAAAUCCCAGGAAGAAAAGAAGCAGCUAGUUAAUUUCAUGCUGAGAAAUAUUUCUCUCCUCUCUUUGAUCUAUUUAUUUCUCAUGAUUCUUCUGCUCUGAGCUUCUCCUUUGGGCCUACAAAAUGAAUCUCCCUGGUGUUCUGGGAGAGCACUCAAAACUAUAAAGCCAUAAAGAGGAGGCUCUGGGCCAUGUGAGGGGCACUAAGAGUGGAUGAGUCACGUGGGAUGGGAAAAACCUGCCUGGGAAGGCACAGGAAUCUCAUUUAGGAUGUAAUUGCUGCUCUGCUUGUUUCCAUCACUCAAAAAACUAUAAGCUCUGUGAGGCAAGCAUGCAUCCUGCUCUCCAUGUAGAACCAAGGCAGAGCCUGGCGUAUAGUUGGUGCUCAAUAAAUACUUACUGAAAGGAGGAAAGAAGCACGACUCAUGGAUACCUGUUGUUCGUGGAAGCCUCAGGUCUCACAACCAAUAAGGGGUCAAGGUCUGCACUUCAAGGUUUCUCGUCCCUUGUCAAUUAUAUCCGCCGAAGCAGGCAGCGGCAAUGUUGAAAAUGACCAGCAGAGGGCAGCGUUCACACAGGCUGUCUACGCCUCUAUGGAGCUCAAAGCUACCAUCGCUACUGGGACAGACCCCCAUCAUGGACCCCUGAAGAUACACUGAGAAGGAUACAACGUCAUGUCCUGUGAUUUUCCUAGCCCCAAAGCUUAUCUAAAUGUAAACAUGAAGCACCAGGUACUUAAAUUCAGGGACAGACUACAGAGUAACUGGUGCUCAUAUAUCAAUUCUUUGCGACCCCAUGGAGUGCAGCCCUCCAGGCUCCUCUGUCUAUGAAUUUUCCAGACAAGAAUACUGGAGUGGGUUGCCAUUUCCUCCUCCAGGGGAAUCUUCCUGACCUAGAGAUGGAACACACUUCUCCUGCUUCGGCAGAUGGAUUCUUACCACUGAGUCACCUGGGAAGCCCCAAAUAACUGGCCAGUGACCUUGAAAAAUGUCAAGGUCAUUUGACAUUGAAUAUCCUUUUUCUUAGAAAUAUUUAGGGGUGAAAACACAAUGUUUUGAACUUGCUUUUAAGUAAGUUAAGAAAAAACAGUAACAAUAAAAAAAUGAGCAAAAUGUAAAGUGAAUCUGGGUAAAAGGUAUAUGGAAUUUUGUUUGUUUGGCUGUGCUGGGUCUUCGUCGCUGCAUGGACCUUCCUUGCUGCAUGGGCCUUCCUCUAGUCUUGGAGAGCGGGAGCUACUCUUCAUGGAGGUGCUCGGGC
This is a long non-coding RNA of Bubalus bubalis (water buffalo), 3219 nucleotides long. RefSeq lists it as uncharacterized. The record is from RefSeq and is a predicted model, not a curated record. Lineage: Eukaryota; Metazoa; Chordata; Mammalia; Artiodactyla; Bovidae. The transcript is spliced from 3 exons.